RNAcentral lists this ribosomal RNA (444 nucleotides) under uncultured bacterium. RNAcentral describes it as "partial 16S ribosomal RNA". It matches the Rfam family "Bacterial small subunit ribosomal RNA", at positions 354 to 796 of the family's 1533-position model. The record is from RNAcentral.
GUAGGGAAUAUUGGGCAAUGGUCGGAAGACUGACCCAGCCAUGCCGCGUGCAGGAAAACGGCCCUCUGGGUUGUAAACUGCUUUUAUCUGGGAAGAAAAAGGCCAUGCGUGGCAAAUUGCCGGUACCAGAUGAAUAAGCACCGGCUAACUCCGUGCCAGCAGCCGCGGUAAUACGGAGGGUGCGAGCGUUGUCCGGAUUUAUUGGGUUUAAAGGGUGCGUAGGCGGCUGAUUAAGUCAGCGGUGAAAGACUUCGGCUUAACCGGAGCAGUGCCGUUGAUACUGGUUGGCUUGAGUGUCGGAGGGGUACAUGGAAUUGAUGGUGUAGCGGUGAAAUGCAUAGAUACCAUCAGGAACACCGAUAGCGAAGGCAUUGUACUGGCCGACAACUGACGCUGAUGCACGAAAGUGUGGGGAUCGAACAGGAUUAGAAACCCCGGUAGUCC